GAAUGUAAGCGAUCGGUUUGGAAGAUGUGUUGAGAGACAAACAAUUUCCUUAGUUCCUCAAAUGAAUUUACUGUCUCGGGUGGAAGAAGACAAUACCAAUUUAAAGCUCUGCCAGAGAGGGUGGAAGGGAAGAGAAGACAUCGCUCUUCGUCGGCGUGCAUCCAAUAUGGCAUGGUGGACUUAAAGAAGUUAAGGUGUUCAAUCGAGUCCUCCCUUCCAGUAUAAGAUUGUAGGGAAUUCUAUGAGAUUCAUGUGG
Molecule: long non-coding RNA, 256 nt
Filed under: Malus domestica (apple)
Lineage: Eukaryota; Viridiplantae; Streptophyta; Magnoliopsida; Rosales; Rosaceae
Description: long non-coding RNA (MDOM_LNC011965)
Source: RNAcentral